GACGAACGCUGGCGGCGUGCCUAAUACAUGCAAGUAGAACGCUGAAGCGAGGAGCUUGCUCUUCUUGGAUGAGUUGCGAACGGGUGAGUAACGCGUAGGUAACCUGCCUUGUAGCGGGGGAUAACUAUUGGAAACGAUAGCUAAUACCGCAUAACAAUGGAUGACACAUGUCACUUAUUUGAAAGGGGCAAUUGCUCCACUACAAGAUGGACCUGCGUUGUAUUAGCUAGUAGGUGAGGUAAUGGCUCACCUAGGCGACGAUACAUAGCCGACCGGAGAGGGUGAUCGGACACACUGGGACUGAGACGCGGCCCAGACACCUACGGGAGGCAGCAGGAGGGAAUCUACGGCGAUGGGGGCAACCCUGACCGAGCAAGGCCGCGUGAGUGAGGAAGGUUGUCGGAUCGUAAAGCUCUGUUGUAAGUCAAGAACGGGUGUGAGAGUGGAAAGUUCACACUGUGACGGUAGCUUACCAGAAAGGGACGGCUAACUACGUG
RNAcentral lists this ribosomal RNA (497 nucleotides) under uncultured bacterium. RNAcentral describes it as "partial 16S ribosomal RNA". It matches the Rfam family "Bacterial small subunit ribosomal RNA", at positions 28 to 507 of the family's 1533-position model. The record is from RNAcentral.